CAAUAGCGUAUAUUAAAGUUGUUGCAGUUAAAAGCUCGUAGUUGGAUUUCUGGCUGGAGCGAUCGGUCCGCCCCGCAAGGGGUGUGUACUAGCGUCGUCUCCGACCAUCCUUGUGGGAACUGUGCGGCCGUUAACUCGGUUGUAUAUGGGAACACAUCGUUUACUGUGAAAAAUUAGAGUGUUUAAAGCAGGCUUAAGCCGUUGAAUACAUUAGCAUGGAAUAAUGAUAUAGGAUCCACGUCCUAUUUUGUUGGUUUCUAGGACGAGGAUAAUGAUUAAUAGGGAUAAUUGGGGGCAUUCGUAUUAACACGUCAGAGGUGGAAUUCUUGGAUUGUGUUACGACGAACUACUGCGAAAGCAUUUGCCAAGGAUGUUUUCAUUGAUCAAGAACGAAAGUAAGGGGAUCGAAGACGAUUAGAUACC
RNAcentral lists this ribosomal RNA (423 nucleotides) under uncultured eukaryote. RNAcentral describes it as "bacterial SSU rRNA". It matches the Rfam family "Eukaryotic small subunit ribosomal RNA", at positions 592 to 1016 of the family's 1831-position model. The record is from RNAcentral.